This 253-nucleotide ribosomal RNA is filed under the name uncultured bacterium. RNAcentral describes it as "partial 16S ribosomal RNA". It matches the Rfam family "Bacterial small subunit ribosomal RNA", at positions 524 to 776 of the family's 1533-position model. The record is from RNAcentral.
UACGUAGGGUGCGAGCGUUGUCCGGAAUCACUGGGCGUAAAGGGCGCGUAGGUGGCCCGACAAGUCACUGGUGAAAGCUCGACGCUCAACGUCGAGUCGGCCAGUGAUACUGUUGGGCUGGAGCACUGUAGAGGCUCAUGGAAUUCCGGGUGUAGCGGUGGAAUGCGUAGAGAUCCGGAAGAACACCGGUGGCGAAGGCGGUGAGCUGGGCAGUAGCUGACACUGAGGCGCGACAGCGUGGGGAGCAAACAGG